RNAcentral lists this long non-coding RNA (1324 nucleotides) under Elaeis guineensis (African oil palm). Its description in RNAcentral is "long non-coding RNA (EGUI_LNC019248)". The record is from RNAcentral. Lineage: Eukaryota; Viridiplantae; Streptophyta; Magnoliopsida; Arecales; Arecaceae.
GUGUGAUGAGAUUCCUUGAUAAGGGUUAUCGGUCAUUGGAACAUUAAUCCACCUCAGUAGUUACUCUACUAAGACAGGAAUUUCACAAGUUACAAAGCUGAUGUAUAUGAGUCUCUCUCUUUCUAAUGGGAUUAACCAAAUGGUUCUUUGCUGCCUAAGCAAGGUGUGAUUUUUUUAAAUAUAUUCAUACCAUGGAAGUCUCACUCAGAAAGGUUGUAUAGCUGAUGAAUUCUACACAUCAAAUGUGUUUAACAUUUCUAAUGUGAAAUUUCCAUAUUCAGAUGGCUCUAGAGAAAUAGAUACCUAACUAGGCUGCAAAGAACUGUGUGGUGGAUCCCGAGAGAGAGAGAGAGAGAGAGAGAGAGAGANGAGGAAGUNNNNNNNNNNNNNNNNNNNNGACGACGAGAGAGAGAGAGAGAGAGAGAGAGAGGAAUCAGGAGGAAAUUGAAAGUUGGACAUAAUUGCACUUGGGAAGUUUUGGCUUAAUUACAUCGGGGAGAACUUUAUAGGAGGUUGUAGAUCCAUGAAGAGUGUUUUUUUUUUUGGUGGUGUGGUGCAGUGGAUCACCGUGAAUUAAAUGGUAGGAGAUAAUGAUGGGUUGUUUUGAGCAGGUUUAGUAAGUGGCUGUCCUAGUGAGAACGAUUAGGAAAGGAGGAACCAUUGCAGAGACUACUGGCCAUGAGUGGGGUCCAAGUAUUUUGAGAACAAAAACUGAUAAAUGGAUUUUUUUAUAGAAUAUUCUUAGGAUUCAAAGCUAUCUCUUUUUAACACAUUCACAUACAUAAGUUGCAUGUGUGAAUGCAUAAGUGAUUUUUCUUAGAGGAAAAAUAGGUGAAAAGAGAAAUACAUCAAUCAAAGAAGUAAAAUACUUUAGUUUGUAUUCCUAUAUCUGAAGCAAUAAACUCAUCAGGAGUUGAAACAAGAAAGUUGUGGAAUUUCUAUGAAACUUCAUUUAUCAUAAUUUUUUAUUUAAACUAAUGAAAAUAUCAAAUAAACUCAAGAAGAUUCUAGAAGGCACCUAUAUUCGACUGCAUUUAAAUUUAAUCUAAAUUCACUCACUUUAACUGUGCAAAUCUUGUCCAAGCAUCACCUUGAACCUAAGUUUCAGUGAUGCCUGCAUGUCAUCACAAUUUGCCCCUCCCAUAACUGUUAAAACCAUUAUUAGUGGGCUAGCCUGUAAAGAACUUUUUUGAAUAAAAUAAUCACUGCUAUAAUGGCUAUAAUUGAUGAAGUAAUGGACAAAAAAUGAUAAGAUAACAGAGUUAGUUUGUUAUUGCUGCUCACAUACUAAAAUAUAUAAAAUACAUUUUUUCAAUUGACAUGG